CAGGGAGACAACAAAAUGUUUAAUAUUAUUAUUUUGUCACCUUAGGUCGAUCGGUAUCUCACGUUCUUAAUUUAUUAAGAAUUUCAUUCUCUAAGUUUUUCUAGGUCACACCCAUUAUUUUUCCUGGGCCAUUAGCUCAGGUGGUUAGAGCGCACCCCUGAUAAGGGUGAGGUCCCUGGUUCAAGUCCAGGAUGGCCCAUAUCUCUAUGUUGGGGGUAUAGCUCAGUUGGUAGAGCGCCUGCUUUGCAAGCAGGAUGUCAGCGGUUCGAGUCCGCUUACCUCCACUGAUUACCACCUCUUCCAUAAUCUGUAGAAAGGAAAAAUUUUGUGUUGUGAUCAUAAUUCUGAAAGAAUCUAGCUUCCUAAUGAAAUCAUUAAGAUGCUGGACUCAUUGAAUUAAUUUCAUUGUUUUCAGAGAACCUUGACAACUGCAUAGAUUAUUUUUAAAGACAAUAAGCAUUUUUAAUAAUGCAGAUUUAUUAUUUGUGCAAAUGCAUUAAUAACAAUUCUAUUAAGCUGAUGCUUCAAUUUUGAGGUUAUU
This 541-nucleotide transfer RNA is filed under the name uncultured cyanobacterium. RNAcentral describes it as "partial miscellaneous RNA". The stretch from base 212 to 284 matches the Rfam family "tRNA". Lineage: Bacteria; Bacillati; Cyanobacteriota. The record is from RNAcentral.